RNAcentral lists this ribosomal RNA (1080 nucleotides) under Triticum aestivum (bread wheat). RNAcentral describes it as "partial small subunit ribosomal RNA". Lineage: Eukaryota; Viridiplantae; Streptophyta; Magnoliopsida; Poales; Poaceae. The record is from RNAcentral.
AUGAGCGACGGCAAGGACACCCUCGACCUCUCCGCCCUCGGCGCCGCCGUCCCCAACGCCGCAGAGCUCAGCGCCGAGGACAAGGCCAACCUCGUGGAGUCGAUUAAGAACACGCUGCAGGGAUUGGCGGCCCGGCACACGGACGUGCUCGAGAGCCUGGAGCCCAAGGUCAGGAAGCGCGUCGAGGCGCUCAGGGAGAUCCAGAGCCAACAUGAUGAAUUUGAGGCAAAGUUUUUUGAGGAGAGAGCUGCACUUGAAGCUAAAUAUCAGAAGAUGUAUGAACCACUGUACUCAAAGCGUCAUGAUGUUGUCAAUGGUGUGGUUGAGGCAGAAGGUGAAGCUGCUGAAGACCAGAAAGAGGAGGUGGGUGUGCCAGAUUUCUGGUUGAAUGCAAUGAAGAACCAUGAAAUCCUUGCUGAGGAGAUCCAAGAGAGGGAUGAGGAAGCUCUCAAGUACCUCAAGGACAUCAAGUGGUACAGAAUUACUGAGCCAAAGGGUUUCAAGCUUGAGUUCCACUUCAAUACCAAUCCAUUCUUCAAGAAUGAAGUGCUUACGAAAACGUACCACAUGAUCGAUGAAGAUGAACCAAUCCUUGAGAAGGCCAUUGGUACUGAAAUUGAAUGGUGCCCUGGAAAGAGCUUGACACAAAAGGUGCUAAAGAAGAAGCCAAAGAAGGGGUCAAAGAACACUAAACCUAUCACGAAGAUUGAAAAUUGCGAGAGCUUCUUUAAUUUCUUCAGUCCACCUCAAGUUCCUGAUGAUGAUGAGGAAAUUGAUGAGGAUACAGCUGAACAGUUGCAGAACCAAAUGGAGCAAGAUUAUGAUAUUGGAUCUACCAUCAGAGACAAGAUUAUUCCACAUGCUGUUUCAUGGUUCACUGGAGAGGCCGCUCAAGAUGAGGACUUUGAUGGCAUCAUGGAUGAUGAUGAAGAUGACGACGAAGAUGACGAGGAGGAUGAAGAUGAUGAGGAGGACGACGAGGAAGAUGAAGACGAUGAUGAUGGUGAUAAGAAGAAGGGCGGGCGAGUUCCUGCAGGGGAAGGGCAGGGGGAGCGACCCGCGGAGUGCAAGCAACAGUGA